AGCCCAUCACUGAUGGGAGAUGGCAGCUCCGAGUCAUUGCACUGGGAUCUAGGAGUUUACGGCAGUGUGAGUGACAUCAGAAACAGGCCCCUGUGAGGCAAUGGUUGUGAUGGAAACCAGGUCUGUGGGGUCACUCACAACUCUGACAAGAGAGACUCUCUCUUUCUGGAUUCCUUCUGCCUUCAGCGGUUACUCCAGCUCUUCCGUCUCUAGAAUGUGACUACACUUGAGCCAGACCUGAUUGUAGGGAGAAAGACCAGGCAGGGGGAAGCCAGCUCCCUAUGUGCACCUUCCUGAUCAUCAUGCCAUGCCAUGGCUCUUAUAAAAGACUGGGGCCCCUCCCACACCCCCUGCCCAGUGUAUAUUAAACUAUCCUACUACUUCUCUCCUUCUCUUUCUACACUUCAUCACUCCUUGCCUUCAGGACAUCCAGUCUAGCCAGCUUGGGGUCCCUGCUCUUCUGACUAGCCAGUGUGGAGCACUGUUCAAUAGGAGAAUUGUAACCACCCUCGAACUUGCAUUACGGGGACAGGGUAGGAGAAACAGAUCCGGUGUUUCAUGCAGAAAACCAGAUUUCUAGCACUGGAGAAUAUGUGGAAGACUCCAACUGGGCAAGGAAGAGAGCUGCAGAUCCUAAACCCAGACUCCUGAGCCAUCUGUAUCCAGAUCCCAAUUGCGAUCACCAUGGUGCACAGAGCCUCUGAGACAAACGAAGCAGCACUCGGGGAGACUAGAGCAUCAGGGACGGAAAAUUCAUUCCCGAUCCAAUGAGUCUUAUUUCAUUGGCCAGCUCUUUAUUAUCAAGAUUUGGCUUUCACUAUCCGCCAGCAAAUUAAACGACAAUCCAGAACUGGAGAGAGGAUAAAACUGUGCAAACUGAACAGUCUGAACCUGUCUACGUUCAGCUUGCAACCAUUGGAUCUCCUCAUGCCAUUUUCUGCUAGAUCAAAGAGCUACCUCCAAUCAGAAAUCUCUUCCCCUGUGGAUACUUGUGGACCAUGAUGAAGUCACCUCUUAACCUGCUCUUGGAUAAACUAAACAGACUGAGAUGAGUCUUUUCGAUCAGCCAGGCCGCUUAUUGCAAUUUCAACUCAUCCUCUGACAAUUAUUCACAUAAACCUGGCCCCCACUGUGAUGACAUGGGAAAAUUUGGGAUGCACACUGUAUCAUCGAACACUCAGGUGCAAUGAAAAAAUACAGACAGUGGGACCUUCCUAUACUAAUGCUACUGGGUCAAAUUCUCUGCCGUGCUUCCUGGAGACGCAGCCCAAGGAGAGAGGGUGAGCCCCUCCUGGGUUGAAUCAGGUGAUCCCAGGAUAAAAAGAGCACUAAAGGGGGAAGUCUAGGAAACUGGAGCAAAGUUUGUAGCUGUAGUAGGGAGCAAGAAGACUCCUUCAGGGCCCUAAGUCAGCAGAGAGAGAAGCUGAAGCUGCAGGAGCUAGUGGGAGAAAGCUCUCCAGGCAAGGAGACCUGGGAGAAAUCCUUCCAACCAGGGAGAAGCUGGAAGGGCUGCUGGGAUGAAGACUGAAUGAGCUUGUGUUGUUUUGGGUUAACCAGGAGAGAGACACUCAACUGUUCGUGGCUUAGAGGGCUAGCAGGUAUCAGAGGACUAAAUAAACAGGAC
Molecule: long non-coding RNA, 1624 nt
Organism: Mauremys reevesii (Reeves's turtle)
Lineage: Eukaryota; Metazoa; Chordata; Testudines; Geoemydidae
Exons: 6
Source: RefSeq, a predicted model, not a curated record